ACUGUCCCUAUCUACUAUCUAGCGAAACCACAGCCAAGGGAACGGGCUUGGUAAAAUCAGCGGGGAAAGAAGACCCUGUUGAGCUUGACUCUAGUCCGACUUUGUGAAGAGACAUAGGAGGUGUAGCAUAGGUGGGAGCUUCACGGCGCAAUUGAAAUACCACUACUUUUAUCGUUUCUUUACUUAUUCAGUGAAGCGGAGAGCGGCGUGCAAGCGCCUCCUUUCUGGACUCAAGCGUCCGGCCCUCGCGGUCGGACGCGAUCCGCUCUGAAGACAGUGUCAGGCGGGGAGUUUGACUGGGGCGGUACAUCUGUCAAAAGGUAACGCAGGUGUCCUAAGGUGAGCUCAGUGAGAACGGAAAUCUCACGUAGAGCAAAAGGGCAAAAGCUCACUUGAUCUCGAUUUUCAGUACGAAUACGGACCGUGAAAGCGUGGCCUAUCGAUCCUUUUGACUUUACGAGUUUUAAGCAAGAGGUGUCAGAAAAGUUACCACAGGGAUAACUGGCUUGUGGCAGCCAAGCGUUCAUAGCGACGUUG
Molecule: ribosomal RNA, 537 nt
Filed under: Sigalion bandaensis
Lineage: Eukaryota; Metazoa; Annelida; Polychaeta; Phyllodocida; Sigalionidae
Also listed under: 1 other name
Description: eukaryotic LSU rRNA
Rfam family: Eukaryotic large subunit ribosomal RNA
Source: RNAcentral